UAGGGAAUCUUCCGCAAUGGACGAAAGUCUGACGGAGCAACGCCGCGUGAGUGAAGAAGGAUUUCGGUUCGUAAAACUCUGUUGUUAGGGAAGAAAAAAUGUAUAGUAACUAUAUACAAAAGAGACGGUACCUAACCAGAAAGCCACGGCUAACUACGUGCCAGCAGCCGCGGUAAUACGUAGGUGGCAAGCGUUGUCCGGAAUUAUUGGGCGUAAAGCGCGCGCAGGUGGUUUAGAAAGUCUGAUGUGAAAGCCCACGGCUCAACCGUGGAGAGUCAUUGGAAACUAAUAAACUUGAGUGCAGGAGAGAAAAGUGGAAUUCCUAGUGUAGCGAUGAAAUGCGUAGAGAUUAGGAGGAACACCGGUGGCGAAAGCGGCUUUUUGGCCUGCAACUGACACUGAGGCGCGAAAGCGUGGGGAGCAAACAGG
Molecule: ribosomal RNA, 429 nt
Filed under: Verrucomicrobiota bacterium
Lineage: Bacteria; Pseudomonadati; Verrucomicrobiota
Description: Verrucomicrobia bacterium partial 16S ribosomal RNA
Rfam family: Bacterial small subunit ribosomal RNA
Source: RNAcentral